GCUAGAGUUCGCCAAGGGAAUAAUACUAGAUCAUUGUGUCAUCUGGAGAAUAUCUUCUCGAGGGUUAGGGUUAGGUUUAUAAAUUACAUGUCAAACGUACAAAUUGAAGCUGUAACAACGGUGGAUUGUGGCUAAAACUAUUCUGAAGGGUUAGGGUUAGAUUUGUGGGUAUAAAUGUAACCGGGGGGUGUAAAUUCUCAAUAAAAACUAAGGUGGUUAGUUUUUAAACCUUUAUUAAAAACCCUGAAAUAUAUAUACGUUAAAAUUAAUAUACAUAUCACAGUAACAGUUGAGUACAAUAAAAUAAUAGUAAGGCAUGCAUAUUGGUACUCAAUGAAAUAUAUCAAUAAUUUAUACACUAAAAUACAUCACUAAUUAAAUUAAACAUAUUAAACAGGCCUUAAGUUUAUACUAAAUAUAAUAUAAGUAAUUGAUAACAUACCCAAAGAAGGGGUUUUUAAAUAAGACUAUCAAGAUGGUGAACAAAAUCUUCAGAUAACUAUAUUCUGGAAAAUAACAUUAUUCUGAUUAUACAUACAAUAUACUUUCAAAACGGUACCUUAUAAUCUACUAUAUAUAUGUAUAUAUGAAAAACUAAUGAUCUUUACAUGUUAUUUUCUAUCUAUUUAAAUAAAAUGGUUGCUUAAUAUUACAAUUUCUAUCAUUCCUACAUCCGCUCCAUCUAAACCCCAAUUACCCAAAAUAAGAGAAUUAGCACACAUACCUGUAAUACUGAAGUAGUAUAACUGGAACAAUUCUCUGAAAAUAACCUAACUAGAUUUGGAAAAUAAAGUUAAACAAUUUGAUUGAAGAUAUCAAAUUGUCCUUACACUUCGAAAUCUAUCUAAUGUCUGAUGUCUAAAGUGAGGUUCAGAUAAAAAGAAAACUUGCUUGUAACCAAGGGAGUAGAAUUGUACUCACCCCAAGAUUUGGGCUCUAAGAAAACAGUACAGGUUAACAAGCCAAGUUAAAGGAGAGAUGUUAUUAUAGACCAGUUGCAAUUAAAAUUAGUGUCAGUUUGUUAGUUUAAAGGUGCACUCACUCAAUACACUAUAUUACUUGACAUAAUAAAACCUAUAAACAUAUUAAAAUUCCGCUUCGCUACAUAAACACUGACAGAUAUUCUACAGAUCGGUCAAGAUCCAGUUAUCGGUUUGCAGUAGAGGUUUUGGAAAUCUCGUUAAAAAAUCAACAGUAAAAAAAUAUUUUGAGAAAAAAAAAUGGAUAUGAUAUAUAAAACAAACUGAACAAGUUGGAUCAGGAAAGACUAUCACAAUGCCUAGAAGAAAAAGGUGCAAAUGGAUUAAAAAUUUACAACAACAUUGGUGUAAAUGGCGUGAUAGCAUUGCAAAUGAACCCCUUCCUGAUUCAACAAAUGAACCCCUUCCUGAUUCAACAAAUGAACCCCUUCCUGGAUCACAAGAUCAACCUGGAUCACGAGUUGAACCCCUUCCGGGAUCAAUAGAUGAACCCUUUCCUGGAUCACGAGAUGAACCCCUUCCGGGAUCACCGGAUCAACCCCGUCCUGCUUCAAGAGAUCAACUGGAAACUAAUAAUGUUAAAACAUUCCAUCAUUGUGUUUUUUGUGAUGAGAUUUUUAAAGAGUACAGUGAUCUAGAUCUUCACUAUGAACUACACGUGAACAAGAAGAUCCAUGUUGAAGGAGAAAAAAUUGACAGUAUCGUAAAACACUGCAAAAGACAUGUUAAAACGGGGCAAAUUGCUAAUGUUGUAAAACACCGCAAAAGACAUGUUAAAAAGGGGCAAAUUGCUAAUGUUGUAAAACACCGCAAAAGACAUGUUAAAACGGGACAAAUUGCUAAUGUUGUAAAACACCGCAAAAGACAUGUUAAAACGGGGCAAAUUGCUAAUGUUGUAAAACUCCGCAAAAGACAUGUUAAAAAAGACGAUAUUGAUAAUGCGGUAAAACUCUGCAAAAGACAUGUUCAAGAAGAAAAAAUUGAUGUGGAAAAACUUCACAAGAAACAUGUUAAAGGAAAAAAAAAUUGAUGUGGAAAAACUUCACAAGAAACAUGUUAAAGAAGAGGAAAUUGAUAACUUGAAUUAUUUUCAGUGUAACUUGUGUGAAAGAAAAUUUGAUUUAUACCCUGAUUUAGAAGAACAUUGUAAAAUACAUAUGGAAUAUGAAGAAUCUCCUAUCAUAGGACAAAAUGUUAAAGAAAGCGAAUCUAUUGCAAGUACUUUAUAUCAAUGUACAUUAUGUCAAAUUUGCUUUGAGCAAUAUUUUCACCUGGAAGAACAUUGUAAACUUCAUGGAUAUCAAUGUACAGGCAGAGUUAGGUCUUCCAUUAGAUUCAAAAGAAAAUACAUCCAAAACAGUUUUCUGUGAACACUGUGGGGUUCUUCAGAAGCAGAUAAGAGAAUUAGAAGCGAAGCUGGAUAAAGCCAACAAUAAAUUGGAAGAUCGUCGAUAUGUUGAUAUACCUGUCAAUACCUACACAGACACCGUAUUGCCCUGAUCCUGUAGAGUUAAUAAAAGAGCAGCAGAGAAAUAUAAAAUGAUUGAACUCUGUCAUGGGUAUGGUGUGUUCAUAUAUCCAUCAGAUCUCGUCCACGUCAAGAAAUUAUUCGAGAAAACAAAGAGUGGACAAUCCGUGACUCGUCACCUUCUGAGCGUCAUGUUUACAAAAGAAGAGCUAUGUUUUGGUUCAGUAUCAAAAGAUCCUAAACCUGGUCUGACGUCAUUGGAUGCAACCGUAGUUCAAGCCAUUAGAGAUUACUGUGUAGCAAUGUCAAAGGACAAGAACGUGGCCAUUAAUCAAGCUCUUCACAACAAAUUAACCACGUACAGAUAUAAGGCGAGGUGUAGGGCAACAAGUCCUGAAUACUGAUCAUUGACAGUGCUUAUCUAGAUGAAAUUAUGGAUGACGAAACCCCCGUGCUUAUUGAAGGAGUCAAGUCGCUAACUAACUCAAUAUCAUCCAGUCUUCGACAAUGCAAACAGAAACGAUUGAUGUUUCAGUCAAAAUGAAAAUAUUAACAUUGGCACUUGAAUCGCGUGUAGAAUGCUUCGGGUACCAUUUGCAUUAAGGGACUCGAUGAAGGAGACUAAAUAUAUCCCACGUAGAAGAUUAUCACCUUUUAAAUUCAGACCCUUCGCGUAUUUUGCCAAACAUAACUGAUUAUAAAUUACAGUAUGAUAGAAACGAUUGAAUGUAAAUCAGGUUAUAUAUAUUCAUAAUACAUUAUUAUGUGUUGCGACCUAUUUGUGUCCAUUACUGGGUGCCACAGAAUAGAGAUUUAGCUCUUUCUGGGUUGAUUGCUUAUUAUAUUCAAAUACUAGAUUGGUGGGGAAAACCCGUUCUUAUUUAAUCAAGAUGCUGAGUUGGUGGAGAGAUUUAAGGCCAAGAGUAGCGGAAAGAUAUCAGUAGAAUAUACCACAAGUUCCAAAUACCGAUUAUUGAUAGUGCUUUUAUUGCUGGGUUUGUGGGGGAAACACCGGAUUGUUUAGUUAAAGUGCUGGAUGGUGGGGGAUACCCUGUGAUUAUUUAAUAAAUACACUGGUUUGGCCGGGAACCCUGGGCUUGUUUAGUUAAAAUAUUGGGUUGGUGGGGAAAUCCCGGGCCUGUUUAGUUAAAAUACUGGGUUGUUGAGGAAAAUAAAUUUAUCUUUAAAUUGAAUCCGACCUCUGUUUUAUUGUCUCUGAAACAUUUCCAUCGCGGCGCCCUAACCUAACCAGUCGGUGUGGUGUGUUUCAUUGACUUGAAGACCAUGAUAAAAGUGACCGUAAAUAUAAAAGUAAAUAUAAAAGUAAACAUAAUCAAUCGCUGUUUUAAUGAAAUGCAAAUAUGCUUGUUUUUGUUCAGUUAAUAUCGAUGUGAUUCAUGAUGUCAUAAAUCAACCUCUUCUAUGUACCAGUUUGCAUACAUGAAAUUAAAGGGAGUAAAAUGAGAUUUAACCUGUUA
This is an RNA transcript of Patella vulgata (common limpet), 3926 nucleotides long. RefSeq lists it as uncharacterized. The record is from RefSeq and is a predicted model, not a curated record. NCBI's taxonomy places the organism in Eukaryota, Metazoa, Mollusca, Gastropoda, Patellidae. The transcript has 7 exons.